This 492-nucleotide ribosomal RNA is filed under the name uncultured bacterium. Its description in RNAcentral is "partial 16S ribosomal RNA". It matches the Rfam family "Bacterial small subunit ribosomal RNA", at positions 28 to 507 of the family's 1533-position model. The record is from RNAcentral.
GAUGAACGCUAGCUACAGGCUUAACACAUGCAAGUCGAGGGGAAACGGCAUCGUAAGCUUGCUUUUGAUGGGCGUCGACCGGCGCACGGGUGAGUAACGCGUAUCCAACCUGCCCAUCACUUGGGAAUAACCUUGCGAAAGUAACACUAAUGCCCAAUGACAUCCCACGAAGGCAUCCGAAUGGGAUCAAAGAGUUAUCGGUGAUGGAUGGGGAUGCGUCUGAUUAGCUUGUUGGCGGGGUGACGGCCCACCAAGGCAACGAUCAGUAGGGGUUCUGAGAGGAAGGUCCCCCACAAUUGAACUGCGACACGGUCCAAACUCCUACGGGAGGCAGCAGUGAGGAAUAUUGGUCGAGGGGCGAGAGCCUGAACCAGCCAAGUAGCGUGCAGGAGUACGGCCCUAUGGGUUGUAAACUGCUUUUAUAAGGGAAUAGUGUGGGUAACGUGUGACUUUUUGCAUGUACCUUAUGAAUAAGGACCGGCUAAUUCCGUG